GGCAGCAUUCUUCAAACAGAUACUCAGAGACUCCUUGUAUUUGGAUGUUAGUGUGAGCAUGAGGAAUGCUUCAGAGAUGGUCAGCAGCCACUCUGGUCUCCCAUUUGCAUAGUUCAGUCACGAUGUGGGAUCCAGAAUGGUAGAUCUGGAAGCAGAGUUUGAAAACCCAUACUCUCUGUUUCAGUUCAUCUCCCUGUCAGUAUCUUUGCGCCAGAGUAGAUAAUACAAGAGAGGCUAAGACAGAAUGAAAGAAACCCAUUGAUUGAGAGGAAACGGUGACCUUCAUUCAUCCUAAGAAAUGUAGCUUCUUUAGCAAAACUCAUAUUUUGUGUUUGAAAUCUCUUAUCUACGUCAGCAGCAUCUACUCAGUCAUCUGAAAUCCAUCAAACACUUCUAAAGCCAUCUUCCUUUAAACAUAGGUUAUACGUGGGACGCCUACCACAGCAUGGCUGCCAAGCAGUGCCAUGUCUGCACCCGGGAUCCGAACCAGCGAACCCCGGGCCGCCAAGAAGCGGAACGUGCAAACUUAACCGCUGCGCCACCGGGCCAGCCCCUCUCUCUCUCUCACUUUUUAAAUCAGAAUGGCUGUUUAAGUACCAUUUAGGAAGCUUCUUAGAAAAACAGAUCUCUAGAGAUUUUCUUUC
This 644-nucleotide long non-coding RNA is filed under the name Equus caballus (horse). Its description in RNAcentral is "lncRNA (ENSECAG00000054236.1)". Lineage: Eukaryota; Metazoa; Chordata; Mammalia; Perissodactyla; Equidae. The record is from RNAcentral.